RNAcentral lists this ribosomal RNA (253 nucleotides) under uncultured bacterium. RNAcentral's name for it is "partial 16S ribosomal RNA". It matches the Rfam family "Bacterial small subunit ribosomal RNA", at positions 524 to 776 of the family's 1533-position model. The record is from RNAcentral.
UACGAAUGGAGCGAGCGUUGUUCGGAAUCACUGGGCGUAAAGGGUGCGCAGGCGGUCAUGAAAGUUAGAAGUGAAAUCCCUGGGCUUAACCCAGGAAUUGCUUUUAAAACUCCAUGACUAGAGUACUGGAGAGGUUGGCGGAAUUCCAAGUGUAGCAGUGAAAUGCGUAGAUAUUUGGAGGAACACCAAUGGCGUAGGCAGCCAACUGGACAGUAACUGACGCUCAUGCACGAAAGCGUGGGGAUCAAACAGG